This 73-nucleotide transfer RNA is filed under the name Haloglomus irregulare. RNAcentral describes it as "Natronomonas sp. F16-60 tRNA-Arg". Lineage: Archaea; Methanobacteriati; Methanobacteriota; Halobacteria; Halobacteriales; Natronomonadaceae. The record is from RNAcentral.
GGCCGCGAGGCGGUGUGGACUAUCCUCUUGGCUUGCGGAGCCAGGGACCAGCGUUCAAAUCGCUGACCGGACG